CGAGUCUCUGGGCGCUCUCCGGGGCGCUGCUCUUUAGAGGCUCAGGCAAGGGGACUGGGAAUCCUGGUUAGAUGAGGCAGCGGCGGCGGCGGCAGCCCUCCCGGGUCCCACUUCCGUGGCGAAUCCUCCUGCCUGGGACUCCAGGCAAGUGACUUGCAUCAGAAGUCUCAGCUCCAAAGGCUUUGCUUUAAGCAGCUGGAGCUUUGACCGUUCGAGGGCCAUCCCUGGGGGAGCAAGUGGCAGCCUGAGAGGCGUCCGCCUCCCCUCUGAUUUCCUGCACAGUUACCGAGGGGUAGUGUGCUAGAAAUGGCUUUGCUGUCGAAUGAAUUAUCUUGCCAUUUUCAUGUCCCGAUACUGCAUAAACAAUCACCUGAUCGAUCGGAAUAGGAGGGAAAGGUAGAGUGGAAAUUGAUUUCUUGCAGAGACUGAGUCGCCGGAUGAUAGAGGGAAUAAACAUUUGCCCUGGAUAGAAAUGUUCUUGGCUAUAUUCCAUCCUUAAUGAUGUCGUAGAACAGAAGUUUUUCUUCAGUUGACUCAUUUUACCAUAAGGAUGGAUGGCUUCUGUGUGUUUCUGCUUUACAGAGAAUGACAAAUGUUGCUAAGAGGCUCUGAGGUCCACCUAAAGAGGAUCAAUAUCCUGAAUUACAUUCAUUUCAAAUAAACCUUAUCAAUUCUGAUACAUAGAAAAUGUACUUUUCAUAUAAGACCUCAAUAUACUGCCUAACUCUACUUGACCUAAUUUGCUAUUCAAAGAAAUCCAACAUGACUUAAAUUAGAAAAAAUGUUAACUUUGAUUUUUUUUAUAAAAAACAAAUGUAAGACUGCUAUUCUUAAAUAUUUGGGGCAAAAGAACCACAUAAGAAAAAUACUAAUUUUAUAAUCUACAGUUCCUAAACUUUAAAAUAGUUUGUAGCAUUUAAAGUUUUAUUAAACAAUUUAAGUAUUUAAGCAUUAUAUUAAAUAAUAUGUUUACACUUAAUCAACUCCAAAAUAGCUGCCUUUUAUCUUCUGAACAAAUCUGGUUUGUACUUGCACUGCUCUCAAAAAUUACACAUUUCUGCUUUAUGUUGAGAUUAUUUUAUCCUAAAUGAUCAAAAUGCACAUCUGCAUUUGGUAAUUUAGUACAUUUUACAUGAUUGGUAACAUUUUUGUUUGCUAUCCUGGUAGCUUCUUUUACAUGUGUGAGUAAAAACUAAUAUAUUUUUUACCUAUUAACUCACUGCAAUUUCUAAUUGAUAGCAACAUUCAAGAAAUAUUAGGGCUGUGGAUAUAGCUCAGUGGAAUAAUUUGUCCUUAGCCAUGAGUCAGGCCCUGGGUUUGAUCCCCAGUACAGCCAAAACAAAAGAAAGAAAGACAUAUUGUAUUACAGAAAUUGUGAUGUGAUUUGCUCAUGAAGCAAGAUGUCCAUAUACUUAUUAUUUUUAAUUUUAAAUCUAAUUUUUAACAAAAGUGAUAUGAGUCAAUUUAGAUUGUCCUUUGCAUACAAAAGACCCUUAUACAUGACCCACAGUUAUUCAUAUAUAAUUUACCUCAUUAAAAAUAUUGAAAUUUA
This is a long non-coding RNA of Ictidomys tridecemlineatus (thirteen-lined ground squirrel), 1552 nucleotides long. RefSeq lists it as uncharacterized. NCBI's taxonomy places the organism in Eukaryota, Metazoa, Chordata, Mammalia, Rodentia, Sciuridae. The record is from RefSeq and is a predicted model, not a curated record.